RNAcentral lists this ribosomal RNA (1516 nucleotides) under Salmonella enterica subsp. enterica serovar Muenster. RNAcentral describes it as "bacterial LSU rRNA". It matches the Rfam family "Bacterial large subunit ribosomal RNA", at positions 983 to 2498 of the family's 2925-position model. The record is from RNAcentral. Lineage: Bacteria; Pseudomonadati; Pseudomonadota; Gammaproteobacteria; Enterobacterales; Enterobacteriaceae.
GUCAGACUAUGGGUGAUAAGGUCCGUAGUCGAAAGGGAAACAGCCCAGACCACCAGCUAAGGUCCCAAAAUAUAUGUUAAGUGGAAAAGGAUGUGGCGUUGCCCAGACAACUAGGAUGUUGGCUUAGAAGCAGCCAUCAUUUAAAGAGUGCGUAAUAGCUCACUAGUCGAGUGACACUGCGCCGAAAAUGUACCGGGGCUAAACAUAUUACCGAAGCUGUGGAUUAUCCGUAAGGAUAAUGGUAGGAGAGCGUUCUAAACGUGUCGAAGCAUGAUCGUAAGGACAUGUGGAAUGUUUAGAAGUGAGAAUGCCGGUGUGAGUAGCGAAAGAUGGGUGAGAAUCCCAUCCACCGAUUGACUAAGGUUUCCAGAGGAAGGCUCGUCCGCUCUGGGUUAGUCGGGACCUAAGCCGAGGCCGAUAGGCGUAGGCGAUGGAUAACAGGUAGAUAUUCCUGUACCACCUAUGAUUGUUUGAACGAUGGGGGGACGCAGUAGGAUAGGCGAAGCGUGCUGUUGGAGUGCACGUCCAAGCAAUAAGACUGAGUGUUAGGCAAAUCCGGCACUCGUAAGGUUGAGUUGUGAUGGGGAGUUGGAUCAUGUAUCCGACGAGUCGUUGAUUUCACACUGCCAAGAAAAGCCUCUAGUUAGAAAAUAGGUGCCCGUACCGCAAACCGACACAGGUAGUCAAGAUGAGAAUUCUAAGGUGAGCGAGCGAACUCUCGUUAAGGAACUCGGCAAAAUGACCCCGUAACUUCGGGAGAAGGGGUGCUUUUUAGGGUGCAAGCCUUGAAGAGCCGCAGUGAAUAGGCCCAAGCGACUGUUUAUCAAAAACACAGGUCUCUGCUAAACCGUAAGGUGAUGUAUAGGGGCUGACGCCUGCCCGGUGCUGGAAGGUUAAGAGGAGUGGUUAGCUUCUGCGAAGCUACGAAUCGAAGCCCCAGUAAACGGCGGCCGUAACUAUAACGGUCCUAAGGUAGCGAAAUUCCUUGUCGGGUAAGUUCCGACCCGCACGAAAGGCGUAACGAUUUGGGCACUGUCUCAACGAGAGACUCGGUGAAAUCAUAGUACCUGUGAAGAUGCAGGUUACCCGCGACAGGACGGAAAGACCCCGUGGAGCUUUACUGUAGCCUGAUAUUGAAAUUUGGCACAGCUUGUACAGGAUAGGUAGGAGCCUUUGAAACGUGAGCGCUAGCUUACGUGGAGGCGCUGGUGGGAUACUACCCUGGCUGUGUUGACUUUCUAACCCGCACCAUUUGAUCAUGGUGGGAGACAGUGUCAGGCGGGCAGUUUGACUGGGGCGGUCGCCUCCUAAAGAGUAACGGAGGCGCUCAAAGGUUCCCUCAGAAUGGUUGGAAAUCAUUCGCAGAGUGUAAAGGCACAAGGGAGCUUGACUGCGAGACCUACAAGUCGAGCAGGGUCGAAAGACGGACUUAGUGAUCCGGUGGUUCCGCAUGGAAGGGCCAUCGCUCAACGGAUAAAAGCUACCCCGGGGAUAACAGGCUUAUCUCCCCCAAGAG